Molecule: non-coding RNA, 651 nt
Organism: Odocoileus virginianus texanus
Lineage: Eukaryota; Metazoa; Chordata; Mammalia; Artiodactyla; Cervidae
Source: RefSeq, a predicted model, not a curated record
GCUUAGAGCCUCGCCAGAAUGUGAGCAGCGCCAAGUGUGAUGAGACUUGGACUCAGCCAGCGCUGGAAAACAGUCUGACCUACACUGGGGCAUGGUCGAGUUCACAGUUAAAGCAGAAGAGCAUGAGCUGUCUGUCGCUUGGCAGGAAGGUGUGAUAUGUUGCAAGGAAGGCAGAAGCUAACCAGCAAGUAGGAUCCAUCCGGUUCCAAUCAUCCGCCUACCUCCUACAUGAUGAAUCCAAGCAUUGGGCUCAUUCAUCACUACUAUUCACCUGAUUAAGUCAAGAUUUACCCAGAAACAUCCCAGAAGAUUUCUUUGGAUAUACCUUCUUAUCAUGGUGGGGGCCCCAAAAGUUUGAAGUAAGCCUCAUGAUGGCUCAAGGAAUCUGGCCCAUUCCAGCAGAAACAGGAUGAAGGUUGCUUAACAACAGGUCUCACCUGCUUCAUCAUGUGACCCUAAUCAAGGACUUACCAUACGGAGCCCAUUUUUAUAACAAAUCGAUUUUUACAAUGAACAAGAUAGAUACCAGAACCUGCCCCUUUUCAAUAAAAACAACCAAGGGACUUCCCUGAUGGUCCAGUGGUCAAAACUCCAUGCUCCUACUGCAAAGGGUGCGGAUUUGAUCCUUCGUUAGUUAACUAAGAUCCUGCA